This 1433-nucleotide long non-coding RNA is filed under the name Cyanistes caeruleus (blue tit). Its description in RNAcentral is "lncRNA (ENSCCEG00000002732.1)". Lineage: Eukaryota; Metazoa; Chordata; Aves; Passeriformes; Paridae. The record is from RNAcentral.
GAAUUCGGGAUUUUUUGGGGAUUUUUAUUCCAAUUUUAGUUCCUUUUUUUGGGUCAUUUUAAGGCAAUUUUUCUACAGAAUUCGGGAUUUUUUUUCUGAUUUUUCCAUAAAUUUUGGGAUUUUUUUUGGGGAUAAUUUCCUCAAAAAUUCCCAUUUUUUUUUUGCUUUUUUUUCCCCCUUUUCCCCCCUUUUGGAUUCUGGGGAAUUUUUUGGGGGUCCCCAUUGGAUUUUUGGGGGUCACUGGGGGUCUCCUGCCAGCAGCCGGGGUCGGGGGAGGUCCCCAAACAUUUCGGUUCCGUCGCCCCCUCCCCGCAGCGCCAGGGCUCUCAUGGAGGCCGCGAUUCGCUCCAGGUCCGGGGGGGCCUGGGGGGACACAAAAUUUGGGGUUUUUUGGGGGGUUCUGAACCCUAAAAUUAUCCUAAAUAAUCCCUAAAAUUGUCCUGAAUAAUCCCCAAAAUUGUCCUGAAUAAUCCCUAAAAUUAUCCUAAAUAAUCCCCAAAAUUAUCCUAAAUAAUCCCCAAAAUUGUCCUGAAUAAUCCCUAAAAUUAUCCUAAAUAAUCCCCAAAAUUAUCCUAAAUAAUCCCCAAAAUUGUCCUGAAUAAUCCCUGAAAUUAUCCUAAAUUAUCCCAAAAAUAUCCUGAAUAAUCCCCCAAAAUUAUCCUAAAUAAUCCCCAAAAUUGUCCUAAAUAAUCUCUAAAAUUAUCCUAAAUUAUCCCAAAAAUAUCCUGAAUAAUCCUCAAAAUAAUUGUAAAUAAUCCCCCAAAAUUAUCCUAAAUAAUCCCCAAAAUUAUCCUAAAUUAUCCCAAAAAUAUCCUGAAUAAUUGCCCAAAAUUAUCCUAAAUAAUUCUAUUUAAAUCCCAAAAUAAUCGUAAAUAAUCCCCAUAAAAACAUCAAAAUUUGGUGUUUUUUGGGGGGUUCUGAACCCUAAAAUUAUCUUAAAAAAAUCCCUAAAAUUAUCCUAAAUUAUCCCAAAAAUAUCCUGAAUAAUCCCCCAAAAUUAUCUUAAAUAAUCCCCAAAAUUUUCCUGAAUAAUCCCCAAAAUUGUCCUGAAUAAUCCCCAAAAUUAUCCUAAAUAAUUCUAUUUAAAUCCCAAAAUAAUCCAAAAUAAUCCCCAUAAUAACAUCAAAAUUUGGGGUUUUUUUGAAGGUUCUGAACCCUAAAAUUAUCCUAAAAAAAACCCUAAAAUUAUCCUAAAUUAUCCCAAAAAUAUCCGGAAUAAUCCCCAAAAUUAUCCUAAAUAAUCCCCAAAAUUGUCCUGAAUUAUCCCAAAAAUAUCCUGAAUAAUCCUCAAAAUAAUUGUAAAUAAUCCCCCAAAAUUAUCCUAAAUUAUCCCAAAAAUAUCCUGAAUAAUCCUCAAAAUAAUUGUAAAUAAUCCCCAAAAUUACCCCAAAUAAUUCCCUUUAAACCCUGAAAUUUGGGGAUUUUUGGGGGGU